GCGGGAUUAGCAAUCUGGUGAAUGCAGCCGACUCAUAAUCGGCCUUAGGCGGGUUCGAUUCCCGCAUCCCGCA
Molecule: transfer RNA, 73 nt
Filed under: uncultured phage_MedDCM-OCT-S31-C1
Lineage: Duplodnaviria; Heunggongvirae; Uroviricota; Caudoviricetes; Autographivirales
Rfam family: tRNA
About the family: Transfer RNA (tRNA) molecules are approximately 80 nucleotides in length.
Source: Rfam by way of RNAcentral